UACGAAGGGGGCUAGCGUUGCUCGGAAUGACUGGGCGUAAAGGGCGCGUAGGCGGUUUGUACAGUCAGGUGUGAAAUUCCCGGGCUCAACCUGGGGGCUGCACUUGAUACGUAGGAACUGGAGUGGGGAAGAGGGUCGUGGAAUUCCCAGUGUAGAGGUGAAAUUCGUAGAUAUUGGGAAGAACACCGGUGGCGAAGGCGGCGACCUGGUCCUUGACUGACGCUGAGGCGCGAAAGCGUGGGGAGCAGACAGG
This 253-nucleotide ribosomal RNA is filed under the name uncultured bacterium. RNAcentral's name for it is "partial 16S ribosomal RNA". It matches the Rfam family "Bacterial small subunit ribosomal RNA", at positions 524 to 776 of the family's 1533-position model. The record is from RNAcentral.